AUCAACUUUCGAUUGGUAGGAUAGAGGCCUACCAUGGUGGUAACGGGUAACGGGGUGUUAGGGCACGACACCGGAGAGGGAGCCUGAGAAACGGCUACCACAUCCAAGGAUGGCAGCAGGCGCGCAAAUUACCCAAUCCCGACACGGGGAGGUAGUGACAAUAAAUAACAAUACGGGGUUCUUUCGGAUUUCGUAAUUGGAAUGAGUACAAUUUAAAUCUCUUAACGAGGAACAAUUGGAGGGCAAGUCUGGUGCCAGCAGCCGCGGUAAUUCCAGCUCCAAUAGCGUAUAUUAAAGUUGCUGCAGUUAAAAAGCUCGUAGUUGAAUUUCGGGACCAAUAUGUCGGUCGUGCCUCGGUACGUACUGGCAUCGUUGGUUUCUCCCUUCUGACGAACCAUGAUGUCAUUCAUUUGGUGUCGUGGGGAAUCAGGACUGUUACUUUGAAAAAAUUAGAGUGUUUAAAGCAGGCUCACGCUUGAAUACAUUAGCAUGGAAUAAUGAAAUAGGUCGUUUGAUUCUAUUUUGUUGGUUUCUAGGAUCGACGUAAUGAUUAAUAGGGAUAGUUGGGGGCAUUAGUAUUCAAUUGUCAGAGGUGAAAUUCUUGGAUUUAUUGAAGACUAACUACUGCGAAAGCAUUUGCCAAGGAUGUUUUCAUUAAUCAAGAACGAAAGUUAGGGGAUCGAAGACGAUCAGAUACCGUCGUAGUCUUAACCAUAAACUAUGCCGACUAGGGAUCGGAUGAUGUUAAUUUUUUAAUGACUCAUUCGGCGCCUUACGGGAAACCAAAGUGUUUGGGUUC
This 799-nucleotide ribosomal RNA is filed under the name uncultured Glomus. Its description in RNAcentral is "SSU rRNA". It matches the Rfam family "Eukaryotic small subunit ribosomal RNA", at positions 314 to 1114 of the family's 1831-position model. The record is from RNAcentral. Lineage: Eukaryota; Fungi; Glomeromycota; Glomeromycetes; Glomerales; Glomeraceae.